RNAcentral lists this ribosomal RNA (497 nucleotides) under uncultured bacterium. RNAcentral's name for it is "partial 16S ribosomal RNA". It matches the Rfam family "Bacterial small subunit ribosomal RNA", at positions 28 to 507 of the family's 1533-position model. The record is from RNAcentral.
GAUGAACGCUGGCGGCGUGCCUAAUACAUGCAAGUCGAGCGAACAGACGAGGAGCUUGCUCCUCUGACGUUAGCGGCGGACGGGUGAGUAACACUUGGAUAACCUACCUAUAAUACUGGGAUAACUUCGGGAAUCCGGAGCUAAUACCGUAUAAUAUAUUGAACCGCAUGGUUCAAUAGUUAAAGACGGUUUUGCUGUCACUUAUAUAUGGCUCCGCGCCGCAUUAGCUAAUUGGUAAGGUAAAGGCUUACCUAGGCAACGAUUCGAAGACGACGUGAGAGAGUGGUCCGCCACACUGGGACGGGGACACGGACCAGCUUCCUACAGGAGGCAGCAGUAGUGCAUCUUCAGGAAUGGGCGCGAACCUGACGGAGCACGGACAAGUGGGAGAUGAGAGUCUUCGGUUCGUAACACGCUAUUAUUAGGGAAGAACAAAUGUCGACAUAAAUUUACACGUCUUGACGGUACCUAAUCAGAAAGCCACGGCUAACUACGUG